GACGAACGCUGGCGGCGUGCUUAACACAUGCAAGUCGAACGGAAAGGCCCUGCUCUUGUGGGGUGCUCGAGUGGCGAACGGGUGAGUAACACGUGAGUAACCUGCCCUUGACUUUGGGAUAACUUCAGGAAACUGGGUCUAAUACCGGAUAGGAGCUCCUGCUGCAUGGUGGGGGUUGGAAAGUUUCGGCGGUUGGGGAUGGACUCGCGGCUUAUCAGCUUGUUGGUGGGGUAGUGGCUUACCAAGGCUUUGACGGGUAGCCGACCUGAGAGGGUGACAGGCCACACUGGAACUGAGACACGGGCCAGACUCCUACGGGAGGCAGCAGUAGGGAAUCUUCAGCAAUGGGCGAAAGACUGACGGAGCAACGCCGCGUGAGUGAUGAAGGUCUUCGGAUCGUAAAACUCGGUUAUUAGUGAAGAACAGAUGUGUAAGGAACUGUGCACAGCUUGACGGUACAUAAUAAGAAAGACACGGCUAACUACGUG
Molecule: ribosomal RNA, 488 nt
Filed under: uncultured bacterium
Lineage: Bacteria
Description: partial 16S ribosomal RNA
Rfam family: Bacterial small subunit ribosomal RNA
Source: RNAcentral